This 607-nucleotide ribosomal RNA is filed under the name Lactococcus garvieae. RNAcentral describes it as "bacterial SSU rRNA". It matches the Rfam family "Bacterial small subunit ribosomal RNA", at positions 33 to 620 of the family's 1533-position model. Lineage: Bacteria; Bacillati; Bacillota; Bacilli; Lactobacillales; Streptococcaceae. The record is from RNAcentral.
ACGCUGGCGGCGUGCCUAAUACAUGCAAGUCGAGCGAUGAUUAAAGAUAGCUUGCUAUUUUUAUGAAGAGCGGCGAACGGGUGAGUAACGCGUGGGAAAUCUGCCGAGUAGCGGGGGACAACGUUUGGAAACGAACGCUAAUACCGCAUAACAAUGAGAAUCGCAUGAUUCUUAUUUGAAAGAAGCAAUUGCUUCACUACUUGAUGAUCCCGCGUUGUAUUAGCUAGUUGGUAGUGUAAAGGACUACCAAGGCGAUGAUACAUAGCCGACCUGAGAGGGUGAUCGGCCACACUGGGACUGAGACACGGCCCAGACUCCUACGGGAGGCAGCAGUAGGGAAUCUUCGGCAAUGGGGGCAACCCUGACCGAGCAACGCCGCGUGAGUGAAGAAGGUUUUCGGAUCGUAAAACUCUGUUGUUAGAGAAGAACGUUAAGUAGAGUGGAAAAUUACUUAAGUGACGGUAUCUAACCAGAAAGGGACGGCUAACUACGUGCCAGCAGCCGCGGUAAUACGUAGGUCCCAAGCGUUGUCCGGAUUUAUUGGGCGUAAAGCGAGCGCAGGUGGUUUCUUAAGUCUGAUGUAAAAGGCAGUGGCUCAACCAUUGUG